GGAAUAUCUCUUAACUUUUAACUAAAAAAACUAAGAACCGGUUCUUAAAUAAGAGUUUUAAGAGCCGGUUCUUAACUUUUUUAGUUAAAAAUUAAGAGACGGGUUCUUAUAUUCC
Molecule: microRNA precursor, 115 nt
Filed under: Brassica napus (rape)
Lineage: Eukaryota; Viridiplantae; Streptophyta; Magnoliopsida; Brassicales; Brassicaceae
Description: MIR9563 microRNA precursor family
Rfam family: MIR9563 microRNA precursor family
Source: Rfam by way of RNAcentral